This 205-nucleotide unclassified non-coding RNA is filed under the name Hevea brasiliensis (rubber tree). Lineage: Eukaryota; Viridiplantae; Streptophyta; Magnoliopsida; Malpighiales; Euphorbiaceae. The record is from RNAcentral.
UUACUUGAAGUUGCUAGGUCUCUUCUGUUUACAACGAAUAUUCCCAAACCUUACUGAGGGUAUGCUAUUCUUUCUGCUGCAUAUGUUAUUAACAGGAUGCCACUCUGGACUUUAGAGUUUAAGAGUCCUCCAGAGGUUUUGCAAGGUAAAAAUUCGUAUACUAUUCCUCCAAAGGUUUUUUGGUAUGUUUGCUUUGUUCAUAGGU